Molecule: ribosomal RNA, 428 nt
Filed under: uncultured bacterium
Lineage: Bacteria
Description: bacterial SSU rRNA
Rfam family: Bacterial small subunit ribosomal RNA
Source: RNAcentral
UGGGGAAUUUUGGACAAUGGGGGCAACCCUGAUCCAGCAAUGCCGCGUGAGUGAAGAAGGCCUUCGGGUUGUAAAGCUCUUUUGUCAGGGAAGAAACGGUGAGCGCUAAUAUCGCUUGCUAAUGACGGUACCUGAAGAAUAAGCACCGGCUAACUACGUGCCAGCAGCCGCGGUAAUACGUAGGGUGCAAGCGUUAAUCGGAAUUACUGGGCGUAAAGCGUGCGCAGGCGGUUUUGUAAGACUGUCGUGAAAUCCCCGGGCUCAACCUGGGAAUGGCGAUGGUGACUGCAAGGCUAGAGUUUGGCAGAGGGGGGUAGAAUUCCACGUGUAGCAGUGAAAUGCGUAGAUAUGUGGAGGAACACCGAUGGCGAAGGCAGCCCCCUGGGUCAAAACUGACGCUCAUGCACGAAAGCGUGGGGAGCAAACAG